This 302-nucleotide ribosomal RNA is filed under the name uncultured bacterium. Its description in RNAcentral is "partial 16S ribosomal RNA". It matches the Rfam family "Bacterial small subunit ribosomal RNA", at positions 508 to 807 of the family's 1533-position model. The record is from RNAcentral.
GCAGUAGCCGCGGUAAUACGUAGGGUGCGAGCGUUAAUCGGAAUUACUGGGCGUAAAGCGUGCGCAGGCGGUUCUGUAAGACAGGCGUGAAAUCCCCGGGCUCAAUCUGGGAAUGGCGCUUGUGACUGCAAAGCUAGAGUGCGGCAGAGGGGGAUGGAAUUCCGCGUGUAGCAGUGAAAUGCGUAGAUAUGCGGAGGAACACCGAUGGCGAAGGCAAUCCCCUGGGCCUGCACUGACGCUCAUGCACGAAAGCGUGGGGAGCAAACAGGAUUAGAUACCCGCGUAGUCCCUGUCUCUUAUAC